UGUCUUCAGUGAAGAACAAAAACAAAGGAAUUUGCCUUGCCAUUCCAAAACUUUUGGAGGGGACUGUAUAUGAUCAGGCCCUGUUAACAACCACAGACUGUUUUCCGAUUCAUGACAUAAUAUGGUGAUGGUAUCGCCUACGGUCCUCCUCCAGAUCUCCCUGUUACCUGCAAAACACUUUCUUGGGGAGGGGGUGCAUGGUUUGUCUGUCUGUUCAAGGACCAUUGAUGUUGAUUUCCACGCAUUGUGAUGCUUGGCGGGCAUCCCUAUUCCAUGAACUCGGCCCAUGAUGCUCGAAUACACUGGUCUAAAACUGGUGGCCCGCGUGCUGAAUAUGUCCCCUCAAGUCAUUUUAAUGCGUGCCGCGUGUGUAUAUCCAUUUCUGUCGCUCUGACUUGGGUCCCUUAGAGAGGAGAUGUCUUGGACAAGAGGGCCAUUGAAAUGGGUGUAGCCGUGAGCAAAUAUACUGAGUGUGGACUCAUCUGAGAAAUAUAAUUUUACCCACUAUACAAUGAUGGACAUGAAUAGAGAGGCCUGUUCUAUAAACAAUAUUUCUGUGUUAUAACACCUACUUAGAGAAGUUACUGUAGGACUGUCAGUGUGUUUUGCAGUUGUUACUGGAAUCCUCGGGUGGACAGAGCUUGUUUUGACCGAGGAUGAUUUUUGUAGUAGAUUGUAGUAUAAAAUCCACUCCGUAUUUCAGAAGAAACACCAUUGUGACUGCCCAUCCGUCACACGUCACCCUUAGGUGUCUUUAGCUAGCUAUGUGUCGUCCGUUAAAAAGUAAAAGUGCUCAAAGGGUUUCUCUAUGUACACGCAGAGAUUGUGAAGUGUGAACACAAAGUUUGUGGUCGUCCUGAUCCAUCAUGGGUCAAUCUUUAUCCCUCCUCUUUCAAUCUUAUGUGUUGUUGAUGCUGUGGGCAACAGGGCAUUUAAGUGCUGCUUCCUUUACUACACAUUUCAUUUGUAUUUUUACAAUUCUUUAGACUUUUUUUGGCAUCCCUCUUCUGACACGUAAAAACACUUGUAAAGAGCUGUUACAUAGACACAGUCAAUGAGUUGUUCUCAAUCGAUCACAGUCUGACUUCUCUCCCUUAGCCGUAGAAUAUGCACUCUAAUUCUAUUGAUAAAUUAUUCUAGAUUCAUGUACUGUAUCUAGCGUGCAAUCAUCAUAGCAGAUAAGACUUGGCUGUCACCAAGCAGCUUCAAGACAAACCAGAUAGCUUGUUAUUAUAUAUCAAUCAUUAUUUGCACCUUCUCAUGUACAAAAAAAAUUAUAAAACUUUUAGAGAGGAAUAGGAAUCAUAAUUUUUUAUCGAAUGCAAUGUUAUGUUGUUGGGGUUUCGUUUCAAAGAAAAGGUGCAUUUCUCCUACAGAGUGUAAUGAACUGUAUAAAGUAUUUAUGCAACUAUUACUGGGUUUUUAAUGUGUUUUUUUUUUUAAACAAUUAUUGUAAUUUCAGCAAGUUUGUUUACUUGUUGCAUGUCAGAUUAACACCACUGACUUUCUGUGUCAGUGCUAUGUACAUGUUUUAUUGGCAUUGCUAUUGUUAUUUUUUUUGUUCAUUUUUCUUAAAAAAGGCAUUGAGUUGUUUUAAGCUGUUAUAAGCCCCGAGUGACAGGUCUGUGUACAGUUGUGACAGGAGUGCAUUUUGUACUCUUUAUGGAAAAAUAAGGUCUGACCAAAAUGAAAUCCUGGAUUAUUUUGGCGGUUAUAUGGGACUGCGUUACUACAGUAUCCAGGGUGCAGUCAGGGAUGAGGUAAUGCUGAAUGUUCAUUGUAUAUUCGUCAUCAGUACGAUAAUGAGAAAAAAAAAACUUAGAAUAACCCCUACAGAAGCUAUGUUACAAUAAUGCAAUAGAUCUGGUACUUAUUCUUUUAAUUUCAUUUCGAUUAAAUACUUGCUGUUUACCACCAA
Molecule: long non-coding RNA, 1918 nt
Organism: Esox lucius (northern pike)
Lineage: Eukaryota; Metazoa; Chordata; Actinopteri; Esociformes; Esocidae
Source: Ensembl